This 480-nucleotide ribosomal RNA is filed under the name uncultured Methanosaeta sp. RNAcentral describes it as "bacterial SSU rRNA". It matches the Rfam family "Archaeal small subunit ribosomal RNA", at positions 858 to 1338 of the family's 1478-position model. The record is from RNAcentral. Lineage: Archaea; Methanobacteriati; Methanobacteriota; Methanomicrobia; Methanotrichales; Methanotrichaceae.
AAAGGAAUUGACGGGGAGCACCACAACGGGUGGAGCUUGCGGUUUAAUUUGGGAUUCAACGCCGGAAAUCUUACCGGGACGACAGCAAUAUGAAGGCCAGGCUGAAGACUUUGCCGGAUUAGCUGAAAGGUGGUGCAUGGCCGUCGUCAGUUCGUACUGUGAAGCAUCCUGUUAAGUCAGGCAACGAGCGAGACCCACGCCCACAGUUGCCAGCGUACUCUCUGGAGUGACGGGUACACUGUGGGACCGCCGCUGCUAAAGCGGAGGAAGGAAUGGGCAACGGUAGGUCAGUAUGCCCCGAAUAUCCCGGGCUACACGCGAGCUACAAUGGUUGGUACAAUGGGUAUCUACCCCGAAAGGGGACGGGAAUCUCCUAAAACCAAUCUUAGUUCGGAUUGAGGGCUGCAACUCGCCCUCAUGAAGCUGGAAUCCGUAGUAAUCGCGUUUCAACAGAACGCGGUGAAUACGUCCCUGCUCCUU